This is a small nucleolar RNA of Drosophila busckii, 70 nucleotides long. It matches the Rfam family "Small nucleolar RNA Me28S-Cm788". From Rfam's summary of the family: Me28S-Cm788 is a member of the C/D class of snoRNA which contain the C (UGAUGA) and D (CUGA) box motifs. This family directs 2'-O-methylation of 28S C-788. Lineage: Eukaryota; Metazoa; Arthropoda; Insecta; Diptera; Drosophilidae. The record is from Rfam.
UGGAUAAAGUGUUGUUACAUAUGUUAGACUAAUGAAAUUAAUUUGAUUGCAAUUAUUAUGCUGAGUGCUA